GAUGAACGCUGGCGGCGUGCCUAAUACAUGCAAGUCGAGCGAACAGAUAAGGAGCUUGCUCCUUUGACGUUAGCGGCGGACGGGUGAGUAACACGUGGGUAACCUACCUAUAAGACUGGGAUAACUUCGGGAAACCGGAGCUAAUACCGGAUAAUAUUACGAACCGCAUGGUUCGAUAGUGAAAGAUGGUUUUGCUAUCACUUAUAGAUGGACCCGCGCCGUAUUAGCUAGUUGGUAAGGUAACGGCUUACCAAGGCGACGAUACGUAGCCGACCUGAGAGGGUGAUCGGCCACACUGGAACUGAGACACGGUCCAGACUCCUACGGGAGGCAGCAGUAGGGAAUCUUCCGCAAUGGGCGAAAGCCUGACGGAGCAACGCCGCGUGAGUGAUGAAGGUCUUCGGAUCGUAAAACUCUGUUAUUAGGGAAGAACAUACGUGUAAGUAACUGUGCACGUCUUGACGGUACCUAAUCAGAAAGCCACGGCUAACUACGUG
Molecule: ribosomal RNA, 497 nt
Filed under: uncultured bacterium
Lineage: Bacteria
Description: partial 16S ribosomal RNA
Rfam family: Bacterial small subunit ribosomal RNA
Source: RNAcentral